Molecule: long non-coding RNA, 12287 nt
Organism: Anopheles gambiae (African malaria mosquito)
Lineage: Eukaryota; Metazoa; Arthropoda; Insecta; Diptera; Culicidae
Exons: 2
Source: RefSeq, a predicted model, not a curated record
AAAACCAAAAGGUGAACAUCGGUCAAUGUGAUUCCAAACCAGCGACUAUUUUUUUCUUCAGUUAAGCCUACCCGGCCUAAAGUAAGCCUAAAAUACGGUCAAAGCCAUAACAAUAUUAAUUUUCAUAAGCCUAAACCAUAUACAUAGUACAUGUUUUGAGUCCGAGUUUGGCAAACGUUCUGUGAGAGAAUAAUAGCUAAAUUCCAUAAUUAUAACUUCCUAGGUUUUUUGACAUCUUGAAUUUUAAAGCUUCUACGGUAUUUUUAAUUGCGUGUUUGUUCAGUUACAUCGUUAAGGGACAUCUUUAUAAAAUAAAGGCACUUUCAAAUUACGAUAUAAACAAAAUUAACAUGCUACAAAUAAGCAUUACACUACUACCAAGUGGGGUGUCGAAUUUACCCCCAUUGGCCGCACAAGUUUUAGUGACAUUUUAUAUUAUAUAGAUUAAUGUAAACAUUACGCCUUGUGAUACAGAACUAAUCAAUAGUAUUUAUAAAACAAUACUAUUAACAUGAAAACUAUAAUUUUGUUGAAAUAACGCCACAAUUCCUUAAGUCCCAGAAGUAAAAACUUACAUCGGCUGUCAAUCAGAACCACCAUGUGUUUAUUUUGUUGUUUUUUGACAAUUGACAGGUUUCUGAUCAGUGAAAUGUGACUCAAAUAUUCGAAACAGUUGACAUAAAUAAUAUGUAUAAGUUUUUUGUCUUCAAAAAGUUCUAUAAAUACAAAAACGGCAAGGUGUCAAACUUACCCGCAGUGUCGAACCAACCCCGACUUCCCCUAGUAGACUCUCAAUAUGAUAUCAGUUGCCAUUUUUUAAAUGGAACUUGGCCACGUAGACCGGAAAUGCAAUAUUUCUACCAAAGAAUAAUUGGAACAAGUCUUGUAGGAUGAGUGGAUAAAAAAUACGCCUUUUUAAAGGUUCAAAUGAGUUCUAACGUUGUGCAAGUAGUCACCAAUAGUCAUAAAUGCAAUAAGAAACAAGAUCAGGACAUUUUUUGAUUCCAUAACCUUUGUUUUCAUACGCAUAUUACGCCAAAAGUCUGAUAGACGAAUACUUUUUGCGUGCCCACCAAAGGACUUUUUUUAGUUUUUUAUGUAUUUUGGUUGAUAUUGCACUAUUUAAAUGCUUAUUUUUUAUCAAAACGUGUGUAUUGAUGGUCCCUUUAUCAAACCUCCUCAUUACUUUUAUCGCCCCAUGCCUAUUGCGGCCAUAAUUCGCCUUUUUCUGCAAAUAAUUCAGCUAGACGAAUAUUUCUUGGACUGACUGUAUGCUCAAAUUAGCAAUCGUGUGCGCAGUUUCCUAUAGCAACUGUUAAAGCUGCACACUAAAUGUUCUGUCUAUUUCUUGUUUGUAUGGACCUUUCAUUCACAUUUAGCCUCUGUAAUUUGAAAACCCCUCUUGUUCGACAGUCCCAUCGCCUCUCAAAUAAGAGAGAGUUGACUGUAUUCAAUUCUGAUUGUAAUUUGUAUCAUUGUUCUCCAUACGUUUCAAAAUACCAAAAACUAAGUCAGCGUUGCGUUUUCUACAGUCGAUGUGGUUGCUAUUGUAUGGAUGUAAACUAAGCAAAAAACAUCCAAGCUACCGCUGGAAAGUAAUGCUGAUCAGCAUUUACUAGAAUUUUAUAAUAGAGAUAGAGAUUCUUGUAGCAAUCUACGAUUCAAUCCAGUUUUCAUUAAACAUAAAUUCUUCAACUCGAAAUUACCGUAACAUAAAUCCUUAACACCGUAAGUGUUUACGAUGGAUCGAAAAUUUGAAACAACAUAUAGCCAAGACUACACUCACCGAUUAGAAAAUCGACAAUUAGCAUUGAACCAUAAGAUUGAUGCAAACCUUCUGGGCAGUUGCUUUUCACCACCUGUCGAAUGCACGGUGCCGGUGUUUUCUAUGGAUAAUCGUGCCGGAGAAUCUCCAUUGAAAUCGAGCUACCAGCUGGAUUACGACCGGCUACCAGAGCGAACAUCUUGUGUGAUCAAGAAUGCUGUUGAAUCGAGUCGUUGGCCUGAUUCUAGAUACUUCCAACGAGAGUUCAAAGGGUUUCCGUGCAACGGUGCAUCCUGUCAAUCUAGUACGCGAGGCCCUCAUCAAAUUUGCUCACAUGAGCCAGAAGUAGAAACUAAGAAGAAAUCUAAAUUUGGAUGUGUGUAUACCAUAUCGAAUAUACCCAAAAGUUAUAUUAUAUCAAGUCAUUGGCCUGAUCAAGAUUGGCAACGUAGUACACCAAAUAUGACGGAGUAUCGUGAUAAGGUGGGACGACUUGGAAGAACUUUGCAACGUGAAAACAUUCACGAUCAUAGUUGCUGCACAUCUGUCCGAAAUUGUCAUCAUCAUUUCUUUUUAUAAAUUAAUGAAUCAACACCUACGUGCCCAUACGCAAUAAUAAAUUACACGUAUAAAUAUCUGAUUUUAUGAGAACCCUUUUUUAUUGAAAAAAAAAACUGCGAACGAACAAAACGAACGAAUAAUUUUUGAGUACCAAAUAAUACACUUUUUUUGUUUUUGAUGAGCAAUCUAAAUCCGAAUUCACUUUAUAUUUCAUAUUUUUACAACUUUGUUGAUGUAAAUUCAUAUAUCGACUAAUGAGUAUACUAAUGCAAACGAUGGAAUUGUUUCUUGGAAUUGUUGGGAUUGUUCAAACUGUUAUCGUUGUCAAUUCAGGUUUCAGAUUUGACGCUCCUAAUAACAUUGUUGAUUCUAUAUUGCCCAUAUUGUUUGUCUGUCAAAUUGGAUCUUAAGCUCAAAUUCAAAUUGUACCAUAUUUCAUGCGAAAACAUGUUUGUUCACUCAUAUAUGUUGUUCCAAACAACGAAAUGUAUCUAUGUGCAAAAUCCUUCAUCUUUGGGAAAACCUUUUUUUGAUAAGACCAUGUAAAAUUCAAUUAAACCUUCUAUAAACUUGUCUUUCAAGUAGUCUUUCGCAUCUAAUAUCUAAAUAUUUAGCACACAUCGCUUGAAUUAUGUGUACGGUGAAUCAUAUAAUGCUCAAGCAUAGGCUGCAGAAUAUAUUUUUUUGCAUUCCUCUUUCUUUUGUCCUACCAAACUUUUAUUUGUACCACUACCAUAUUUCGUCCAGUACCAGUACCAUAUUUCUUCCUCCAUCAACAGUUACACAACCAAGGUUACUCCAAAAAAUAUUGUUCUUUAAAAAAGCUUAAAGCAACUGGGUGAACAUAUCUCCCCCGGUAACGGUGCCAUUCAUGCCUUGCAAGACAGCCAAUUAUUGUGUACAAAUCAUAUUUUCAUCCAAUCAUCGGAUGAACACAAGAAGCUGCUAUUUUGAUUGAAUGUCCAACGAUUCGUUAACCGUUGAUCGUUAAUCCAUAACUCCCUAUCUGCCAAUCUCCAUAGAAAUCUCCAUCCAUCAUGGCUACCAAAAUCAGAGCUAAGAACCCGCCUAUAGUCUAUCUAACUGCUUUUAACAAAAUUAGUAAAAUUUAAUAAACUCACAAGACAUUGUUCACAUCUGAAAAUUCAUGCCGAUUUUUUUCACUGCACCACAACUUCAAAAACUGGCAUAACAAUUUUGAUGUUUAAAAUUCUAUCAAUUAAAUGAUUAAUUACUCAACUACAAUUGAAUAAUUUUGGAGCACACAAUUCAACAUAAAGCAAUUUACUUACAGUCAAAAAUUGAUGCCUGAUAGACGAACUCUGAUGCGUUCUGUCAAAAAUUGAUGUCUUAGAGGCAAAAAUUGUAACACGCUGUCGAAAAUUUGUACAUUAAAAGCAAAAAUAGGUGGGUUAGCACUAACAUUUAGUUGCAGAGACUGUAUCCAAAAUCUCUUAAAAGCGAAAAACAAAGGUGCUUUUUGUUGAAUUUGAAAGGCAUUACAUGUUUUUUUGUCAUGUAUUAUGCCAUUCGGCUGACGAUGUAUUUUGAAAUACACCUCUUAACCCGCACCUCUCACAGUUUUCCGGAACGAAUUUGAAUGCUACCGUAUGUAUACCAUUUGAUUGCAAACGUUCUUUGAUAAAAGUGAAAAUUUUAUUCAGGAUAAAAGUGCAUGAAAGUGUCGUUGUAUAUUGUAGCGCUCCAGUGAUAUUGUAGCGCUCCAAGAAUAUUGUAAACUAAGUGAAAGAGUGCGCUGCUUUUAAUGUAGCCAGUGGAACAGAUAAAACCAUGUAAAAUAUAACGCUGUCAAAAUAAACGCUUUGAUGCUAUGAGUAGAAGUCUUUCAAGGAUUGAGGAAUAACAUUUAAAUAAUAAUAAAGUGUUUGAAAGAUUCGGAUACCGACAUGCGAUGGUACUUUUAGGGCGAUUUAAAUUAUUCCUCUAAGCACUUGUAUUUUGGUGUUUAGCUGAACUGAUAGGCGUUAGUCGGGUACGUGGUAGGCUUUUUUGAAUGAUAUACAUUUUACGGAGUAGCUGGAUUUGCUCUUGGCUCGAAACAUGAAUAAAAAUAGUUACUGCUGUAAGGGAUAAUUUACUAGUUAUUGCACACCACCAAAUUAUUUCACAAUGUGUAUAAAUUGUUAUGUUUUCAAAUAUUUAUAAAACAUUGAUAAAAGAAAGCAGCUUAUCCUUGAAUAUUGAGCAUUUCUGCCGUACAUUCCAUUCAUUUUUUUGUUUAAUUUGAUAUGUUUUUUUUUUAAAUAUUAAUAAUAAAAUUAACCAAUACCGAUCAAACCGAAUGAAUUUGUCAGAUGAAACCGUUAGGAUUUAAGUACCACAAAAUAAAUUUUAUUUCAUCCUAUGAACCAGCAAAAUGGUAUAAUUUGAAUGAAAUUACAUAAAUUUAAAUAUUUCUUACGUAGCGGUAGCUAUAGAUUCAACUUUUAGCAAAAAAAUACACUUUAGGGCACUGUUCAAUAAUUGGAACAAACAAGCCAUGUUUAAAUAGAACAAUUUCGGCUUGAAAACUCCGUCAAAAUCAUUGUUUUCCAUGGCAUCGAGCAGAGUUCGAAGAAUCUUUUUUGUGCAAUUUUUGCCAAGCGCUGUCCCGUUAAACAUUGCAAGGGUUGCGAGUAAUAUAAUCUGCUCGAAAUCUUAUGGUAUUUUUAAUAAACUUUAUUUUUUAUUCAUUUUUCUUGCGGUGUUUUUUGUCGAAAAGAUCACUAUUUUAAGUUUUGAUGUACGCUUGCAACUCUCUCAUUAGUAAAACGCCUUUUCGCAAAGCUCCGUAAAAAGUGAUAGGAGGUGAAAGAGAGAUGAGUGUCGGAGAUGGGAGAAUGCGUUUCGCAUCAGUUUCGCAGCCUUACCCGAAAAAUCGCCAAAAGAGGAGAUCUGAUGAUCUACUGACCUCCAAUAUUCUGGAGCCCAAUGAAGAGCUUGUACACCUUCACCUUAGUCCUGUGCAUGAUGCUGUGUUUGCCCAAAUGCACACUUUGGAGCAGGCACAAGCCAUCGUCGAGCUGAUCCACGAUUACGUGAUGAUUCAUCAUCGAUAUUUGACAAUGUUGCGAACAAGUCAAAUGUACCAGUUAAGCUUUAUUUUAUUACAGUCAGGGUACGUAGGGCACUCUACCAUCAGUGUCACACUCUACUAUCAGUUUUGCGAUCCACGCUCAGUUUCGAUAUCUUUGACGUCAUAUAUCUUUGACAUCGUAAUAAAUUUGAACAUCGUAAAACACCGUGGUAUCAUGUAUACCACAUCCUGCUUGCAAGGUAGUGUAACUCACUACACCCACAUUGAUGUUACGUUCUGGCUUUGUGUUUGUGACUGAUUAUGGUUCUGAUUGGUGAUUAGCAUUUAUGGAUUGAAUGUUUUAACAUACCAGUGACCUUGAAGAUGAGGAAAUCGUGACGAAUCCGUAAUUGAAGUCGGUGCUGAUCAAUGAGUGUCCGCGCCUUUUCCGAUGUGGCUAUUUUAUAACCAUGCCAACCGAUAGUUAUGAAGCUAAUUUAAACAAACGUAUAGUUAGUGUCGUGUCCAUCCGAAUUUUUUUCUUCUACCAGGAGCCCAGCGGAUUUGAUAGUAUAGCUAAAGGAUUCAAACACCGCAGUCCAGGUAGUUCAGCUAGAUAUAUUAUUCUGUUGUACUGAAAUCCGGAUGGUGGCAAUAGACACUUUGAAUGACUCAUGUGUCGAGGACGGGCGAAUCAUUCCCUGUCAGUCAGGUACCUGUAAGCGAAAGGCAGUCCGGCAUUAGGAAGGCAACGCUCUCAGUGGUUAGAGGUAAAGAAGGUCCUGACGUUGCAGACAACGAUGAAGACAAAGAUAGAAGGAAGCAUCUAUGGAACGAGCAUCCUGGUCAUAUUUGAAGGAUGAAACAAUGCAACCAUACGCUCACGCUCUUUUCUGCAGAACGCUUACUGCAUUUGACAAGUAGUGUGUCACAAUGAGACCGAUAAGAGGAUCAAUUCUUCAAUCAAUCAAUCAAUCAAACUUUAAAUGUAAAAGAACUUUUUUAAUCUAUUAUACACAAUACUUAAAGACAGGUGAACAACGUCCGUUCAUCUCGAAGGUUACAGGAAAGAGGCCGUGAUUGGCUGCUUUUCGAUGCAUGUCUGUAACAAAAGAGUAUAACAUACUGACUCUGUGACAGUUGCACACACGCUCACCCAAAAUUACACUAAGUCCGACAAUACUGUAAUGUCGGCAUAAUCUUCUUCUUCUUUGGCACAACAACCGCUGUAGGUUAAGGCAUGCCUGUACCCACUAGUGAAGCGAGCUUGGCUUUCAGUGACGUAUUGUUAUCAUAGCAGGAUAGUCAGUACUACGUAUGGGGGCACGGUCUAUUCGAGACUUGAACCCAUGACGGGCAUGUUGUUACGUCGUACGAGUUGACGACUGUACCACCAGACCGGCCCCAUCGGUAUAAUACAAAAAAUGAAUAUAUGUAGCUUUAUGAAAUAUUCACAUAGUUGGACGUCGUGUUAGGCGAUUUUGGAACCAUUUAUUUUCCGGAACCUCUUUUUAGCUAAGAUUUUUAAUUUUUUUACAGAAACUUUGAGCUCAAUUGGAAUAAUUCUCCUCUUUAAAUCAAGAAUAAAAUCUGAUGUAAAGUCUGCUUUGUAAGUCAUCACCUGCGAUCAGUAUCAGUCGAUUGUGGUACGAUAUUCUCUUCUCUCAUUGUUCAGUUUUGGAUAAAAUUGGCCGCGUCAAAUUGCAUCAACCGCCAAGUUUGUUCAAAUUUUGUCACACGUGCUUGUAUGCCAUCGCACACAUUUGAAUCCGCCAACCGCGAACAGUCAUUGGCGACACAACCGGUCCGUAUGACAUUCAUAUGCGAGAGAAAGACUACAAGAGGAAAAUAAUGAGUGCCAAUGAUGAACGCCAAUGAACGGCUGCCUCGAACACCAUUCAGGUUGACAAAGGAGUAAGGAGAAGCUUAAGGGCGGGGUGAUCAAAAGCUCUACUCGAGACCAUCGCAAUAGGAGGGACGUAGAUCGCACAAGAAAAAGAGCGAGAGGCCGCAAUUUUUUCGAUCGCCUUGCCCAGUGGGCGGCUUCGUGCAACAACACCGAUCUUACGCUCAAGCUGCAUCCCUGAGCCGGAAUCGAUUCCGAUAGAUUCGCAUCCAACUCCGGGGUGCGUUGUGAAAUGAAUCGUUUGACUCAGUAAUGGUCCACAGUACUCAUACACAGCAUGCCCAAAAACAUUUUUAUUGUUGCGGCAGUGAAUUUCCUCAUUGAUACUUACUAACUUACUUAUCCGGCGCUACUUCCUCUUAACGGUCCUGGCCUGCCUCAGGAGUGUCCGAAACCACUCACGGUCUCACGCCUUCUUCUGUCAAUCCGUUAUCCCAGCUUUAAUGGUAGACGCCUCCACGCCAUCUUACCUCCACAAUGUAGGUCUACAACGCCUCCUCUGUUCUUGCGGACGGCCUAAAAAGACUUUACGGGCUGGGUCGUCCGUUUCCACGCGUACAACAUGGCCAGCCCACCGAAGCCUGGCGAGCUUGAUACACUGCAUGACAUGAAGUCCGCCGUACAUCUCGUAUAGCUCGUCCUUAUAAUGGCUCUUCCAUUGUUCUUCCACUCAUUUGUUAUUUGUAAUUUAUUAUUUAAAAUUUAACGUACUUAACGUAAUGUAACGUAAAAUUUAACGAGUGGCCCACAUGGAGCGAAUUCGCUUUCAUUCAUUAUAUGAAAGUCACGUUUCGUUCAUCGAUUUGACAUAGCAGCGGUCCAAGGUUACUCCCUUGCAGCAUCCCCGAAGAAGCAUCAAUACGGUGCGACGUAUGGGGUCCAAUCUUCACGCAGUAUGUGCGCCUGGCAAGAGGAAUGCAUCCAGGCUAGCAGCAGCACGGUCUGGCUAAGCGUUUGGAGCUUUGCAAGCAGAAAAGUGUGCGGAACGCUGCUGAAGGUAGCCUUAAUGUCCGUGUAGACUACUUCGAUCUGCGAGCCGGCACCGAUGGUCCUGUGGCAGAGGCUAACGAACUCAACCAUUGGUGGUGGUUGAACGCUGAGGGACAAAUCCAUGUUGAGCUGCGCUAAUGUAGUUCGAGGCAGCUGCUAGGAGAGGUUCGUACAGCAGGAGCUCGAAGACCUUAGCGCAGGCACAAAGCGAUGUAAUGCCAAGGUAAUUACAUGCAUUUGAUUUGUCCCCCUUUUCGUGCACUGGAACAAGCCACGAAGUUUUCCAGCAGGCAGGAUAGAUGCCCGAACGCAGCGAGUCGCGAAAAAUUGAGACCAGGAUAGGCGCGAUGGUGGUACCACAACGCUUAAGCGUGGAAGCCGGGAUCCCGUCAGGCCCUGGAGCAAACGAAGGUUUCAAACUGUCAAUCGCUUUCGAGACUGAAUACUCAUCAAUGAUCGGCAAGUUGGGGGCCAUAGCAUCCAGUGGUACGUUUGAUAGUGCGUCGGCUAUCUGCCUUUCAUCAGUUACCGCUGGAAGGAAAGUGGCACCACAGCGUGAGGCAAAAAUAUCGCAAACAGCGGAAGGAUUUUUGCCGUUGCGUCCGUUGUAACUGAUGAAGAUGGGAAAACCAGAGGAUUUCCGGCGAUUGUUUAUGAAGUUCUAUCUUCUUCUUCUUCUUUGGCACAACAACCGUUGUCGGUCAAGGCCUGCCUUGUACCCACUCCAGUGAAGUGAGCUUUGGCUUUCAGUGACUUAUUGUUACCAUAGCAGGAUAGUCAGUCCUACGUAUGGGGGCACGCUCUAUUCGGGGCUUGAACCCAUGACGGGCAUGCUAUUAGGUCGUACGAGUUGACGACUGUACCACCAGACCGGUCCAACCGGCGAAGUUCUAUAGUACACGAUAAUUACCGCGGCCGCACAAAACUGUACGCCGUACGUGCCACAGGUAGCAGAAACUGUUAUAGCGCCGAUAGACAGAGUGCGCAUUAUUAUAGUUGCGCAUUGCAGCGGGACACCUACGCAACAGAUAAUCGCGAUACGCGGCAGCUUUAGCCGUUUUGAGCCUGCGCAGCGUUCUGUCACCCCAACAGCUUACGAUAGGCGAACUAGGCGGUCGCCUGGGGCCCCGCCGAUUCAGGGGUCCCGUACAUCGUUAGUCUAUAGUAUGCAGUACUCUACGAACAAAUGUGGGCCACGCGAAGGAUGCGGCCUUGUGAGUCUAAACCGCUCAAGUAACAGCGAUCUUCUCAACCGUUCGACACCAAUAAUUAACCUUCUCGCUAGUUGCUCUCUCAAGUAAUUUGAGGAGCCUAUGCCGCAAAAGAGGGACGAGAAAUUUCUUUCUUGAUCCGAAUAUGCAAUAUUAAAAAAGACGAGGUUUCUUAGAGUUGCAAAAUCCUUUAUUCAAUGUUCGGUCCCUUUUAUACCCCCGGAAGCCCAUACAAUUUUAGGGUGUUAGUGUAUCCUUUCCGAGGAUAAUUAGUACAUAAGUGUACGUACGCGUGAGUACCGUGUGUUUGUGUUUGUGACGCAUAUUUAUUCCGCUUUUACACGCAGUGUACCCGGUUUCUAGAUUAAGGUGACCGCGCACCACGCGAAAUUACUGUUUGGCACAUUCGUUACAGAGUUAAUAAUCGCGAACGUAACACCCCAAGUAGCAGAGCCGAAGUUGUUGAGAGGUUUUUCUGUGAGCCAAAGCGAGAGGCCCUGUAUUCUCUCUUUAGAUUUUGGACGGCAAACCGCCGCCCGUGUAGAGGUGUGUGCGUGUGACGAAAAAUUAUGGAUGAAAUACGGGGGAAGCGGGGUUUGAAGUCUUUCGUUCCUCACACAUACAUGAAUUUACCAGCGAAUAUCGCUGGACCGAGUGUACCCAUCUCUCUCGAUCCACCAUGAUUUUUCUGCUAUCGCGCUCAUCCGGGUGUUAGGCAUCCUCAGUCUGUCCAGAACUGUCCCUAUGGAAGGAUGUACUGAAGAAAGGUGUGGUUUCUUGUGCGACGUUCUUUGCUCAUUUACGUUUUGUGCCGUGUUCUUCCUCAGUUAUGUUCUUCCUCAGAAUGAUUUAUCCUAGCAAAUUGUUGAGGUAAGUUUCUGGCUGUGUGCUUGUGCAGGUACAUUCAACUAACCCUUGGCGUCUAAAAAGUUACAGGUGUGUGCGCUAUUUAUCAACGACUACCUGUUAGCCUCGUCAACAAUCUUCAAAGUGAGCGACGGAAAGAAAACGUUUUCCAGUUUUAAAAUAUUAAGGUAAGUUUUGAUCUAAUCCUCUGCGCUAAACUCUCCAUAGUAAUACAUACUACUUACAUUCAUUAUUGCUUCAUUGAGCCUCCGGUGAGGGCGUCAUUACUUAACAGAAGCCGGUUCAACACGCGCAGCUCCUGUUCAUGACGUCAUCACGAAACUGAAGCCAGCUGAACACGCGCAGCACGGAUGGUACCCCGAGCGCAGUAGGAGGAAGGAAGAACGAGAGGAGGAAGAACGGUAAAUUUGGAAGGGGGAAAGCGUUCUACCGUCUACACAGCGGGAGUAUGCCAAAACACAUAUGGGAAGGGAGAGGGAUAUUAUUCAAUAAACAGCAUGCGAAUGUGUGCAUAAAGCAAAUGUGAACAGCCUCAUCAUUUUUAUAAGCAAUUCGAAAAAGGGGGUGGAGCAAACACAUUGGUAUGCGUGAGCGGCUGAAGAAACCAAAACGUUUAGAUGUGUGCGUGACGGAUGGUUCGGGCGCCUGUGGCGAAGCUCUCGACAAACCUGCAAACGAGAGCUUUGUGGAGAGCUUUGUAGGGAACUCAGAUUACACAGGCCGCCGUCGGUUUUUGCGUCCUUGGGACGUAGAGUUAAGCGGAGAAACGGUGUAAAAAAAAGGAUGCGAGAGAAUCAGAAUACCCGCCAUGCAAUUGACCCGUCAAACAUUGCGAGGGUUGCGAAUGAUAUUAUCUGUUCGAAAUCUUGUGGUAUUUUAAAUAAUCAUUGAUUUUUAUUCAUGGAUUAUUUUUUCUGCGGUAGUAUUUGUCGAAAAGAUCACUAUUUAAAUUUUAGUGGAUUUUUUAAAAUAAAAUGUCAAAAUUCAAGUGUUUAGUUUUACAAUUUGCACUGUUAUACCUGCUCUCGGGGUGCUAUAAUUAUAACUGCUAAAACUAGCGGCGAAAAAAUUGCCUAGGCUCGCAAGCUCUUUAAUGCGAGGGCUCUGGGACGGUGAACUUGUAUGGCUUGCGAGCUCUCGCGCGCCCUCGCAAAUCGCUGUCAAUUGCAUGGCGGGAUAUACAAGCGGAAAACCAUCUGUCAAAACCAGAGCCCAGGGGGGGGGAUCGCCAAAAGCGCUAUAACUACACCUCAUUAUACAUUCCACCUUGCUCCUACGCCAAAUUUGUCAAGCAGCUCCUCGAGCUACCCGUCCCUGGCUUCGCCUCCUACCCCUCACCUGAGCGUGCUGUCGAAGGUUUGGAUGUGUUGGUGCGUCAGACGGCCAAUCGCUGUCAGCCGUCCCCGACAGACAAAGAGAACGAAAUUUUCAGGCGAGGGGUAGGUAGAAACACGCGUUGGGGGUCCGGCCCGAAAUCGGAUCCAAAGUCCGUUGUUUUGGGCUGAGAAUUAAAAAUGGUGGAUGGAGCGCUACCACGGAGAGAAUGCGCUCUCUUGCUUGCCUUUAAAAUACACGAGGCGCUCUCGCUGUAAAGAACGCUCGCUCGCGCUGUUUCAUCAUACCCCUACCUCCCCGUUUCUUUCGGCUUGCGCUGCGCUGAACUGGUACCCACUCCCACUUGAUUCCAGCGAAUUGCGCUGCGCUGGACUGACACCCCCUCCCGCUCGUUUCUUUCGUAGCACGCUGUGCCCUUCCCUUCAUUCGGACUUGGUGCACCCGAAUCAAAACAAAAACUUGAACACAUCAAACUUGGUUUAUAUUUUAUCACAUUUAUUGCAAAUAAAAGCACAUUUAAAUACAUUGCUUCACACAAUCUUGCUUCAAACCACACACAUUCAUUAUAUAAAAAAAUCGACGUAUUUCAAAUAACCGUCUAACUGCGUGGAUCCCGUUGUUGAUGUUCAAUACAGC